AGAGGACCGGUCUCUGAGGACGACACAUCUUUUUAAAAAGGACUUUUUGCAAUCCUAGUCUACUUCUAAGUCUUCUAAAUAUAUAAAUAAGCUAUGGGGGUCAUCUUAAAGUUUAAGGCUUUGAAUUUCUACUCAUUCUAAACCCUAAAAACUUGUUUUUCCCGUUCCUAUGAUUCUAUUCCAAUAACAAGUUUCUAACAAUCAACGAUCGACUUGAUUCUUCAUUUUUACUCGAGAACUUAUACGAGAAUCAAGUAGAUAUUUGAUUACACUACAACAAAAACGGUCUAUAGCGACACUUUUAAAUGUAGGUACAUGUCAAAAAAGUGCUGCUAGCUAAAAUUACCGACACUUUUAAAAAGUGUUGCUAUAUGUGGGGUCGCUAGGUAUAUAGUGACAGUUAAAGAGUGUCGCUAUAACCUAAAAGAGUGCUGCUAAUUUACCAACAGUUAUUUAAGCAUUUAGCAACCGCCGAAACUCUAUCUCGUUGGCUGCGGUAGCGGAGGAGGACGAUAGUAAAGGCUCUUCGUCUAGAAUUUCAGUGAAUUGAGUGAAGAGAGAAGAAAAGAUGGUAAUUGAUUUUUCUUUUUUUUUUCUUUUCUGUUUGUAAUCGGGCCAAAUGGACUGGGUGUGGUGGAUUGAGUAGAGUAAUCUUUUAUUUUUGGUUGGAUUGGGCUUUAUAUUUAGGCAUUAGUAGAUGUGUUUUUAAGUUUUAACAUAAAUGGGACACUUACUGAAAAGUGUCCCAAACAUGUGUCCCUAUAACCUAAUU
RNAcentral lists this long non-coding RNA (772 nucleotides) under Ananas comosus (pineapple). RNAcentral's name for it is "long non-coding RNA (ACOM_LNC044754)". Lineage: Eukaryota; Viridiplantae; Streptophyta; Magnoliopsida; Poales; Bromeliaceae. The record is from RNAcentral.